This is a long non-coding RNA of Nicotiana tabacum (common tobacco), 727 nucleotides long. RefSeq lists it as uncharacterized. The record is from RefSeq and is a predicted model, not a curated record. Lineage: Eukaryota; Viridiplantae; Streptophyta; Magnoliopsida; Solanales; Solanaceae.
AACAUGGGCUGCUAAUCAAGGAAGAAAUUUUCUUCCUUGAUUUAUGGGAUGGACCCCACAGUGGGACAGUGUGGUAAGUUCAUCUGGGUCAUCAGCAAGAUCUUCAAGUUCUAGAUAUGGUGGAAAAUCCAAUUUGAUUAUGUCUUCUACAAAAUGUUCUCUGUCCGAGGAUGGAGUAGAUGACACAAUGGUGCCUCUGAAGAUCAAAAUCAAGAGAUUACUGAAAGUACGUGUCUAGACAUGGAGUAUAAUUCUGAUCAUGCCUGAGCAAAUAAUCACUUCUGUUAUACAUAUAUGACCGAGAAGAAGGUAGUACAGUGUUUGAGGGGGAUGGUUCAUCAGUGUUCCUUAGUGUUCCUUGGUGACGAGGCAUCUUUCCAGAAGAAAGAGGUGGAAUUAGCCAAAAAAAACUGGUAAGUAUGGAGAUACAAAAGUCUUAAAUCAUUCUUCUGGCAUAUAUUCGCAUUUAUAUGUUUGUGCUAGAACUAGCAAACUCAUGUAUGUUACUGGGACUCGGUGGAAGUUGUAACGACAUGAAUGGCUGAUUCUUUCUAUUGUUUAGAAAACUUACUUGCUGAUUAAGUUUAGCUUACACUUGGAAAUUCAUGUCACUGUCUGCAUGACAAUCUUACGUGCCAUAACUUGCUGUAUUUGAGAGACUAUGAAGAUUAUGCUUACUGUCCUGGAUCCCGCUGUCAUCAAUAACUGAUGAUGCGAAUAAGAGGGA